Non-coding RNA from Pelobates cultripes (western spadefoot toad), 647 nucleotides. Lineage: Eukaryota; Metazoa; Chordata; Amphibia; Anura; Pelobatidae. The record is from the annotation of a GenBank genome assembly.
CUUCGAUGAGAGAGAUUAUAUUCAUAACUAAAUAAUUGCUCUGGUCCGUAAAGGGUUGUAAUACUAAAAAGAAAGUCCUUAAGAGGUUAAAUACUAAAGCACUUACAAAGCUCUGCCUUAGGUGUGGCAGCAUUUUGUAACCUCUACCUACAUGACAAGGAGACAGGUGCAGCCUGGUAUUUGGGUAUGUUUUUGUGUAAGAAAAGUGUAGUAGGAACAGGAAACUGUCAGGAAUGUGUUUAUUCUGUUAUGUGCAGCAAAACAAACUAUCUUGCAUUUGUAGAAGUGAAACCUCAAGUUCUUGUUUAUUAUAAUUCUGGAGAGGCUUGCCAUGCAGUGAAAGCACGGACAGUUCAAGUCCAAAUUGAAAAGCAGGCUAUGGAUGUUUUUUUGUUGUUUUUUAAAGAAGUCAUUACAUACCUUCCAAGUGUCCAUAUUUCGGAGGGGCAUUCCCUAAUUUGGGCACAAAUCCCUCUGUUGUCCCUCUUUUCAAUCCUAAUGUCCCAUAAAUGUUGGUGUAUCUGAGUGUAUAAUAGAACUCCACAGCAAGAAUACUCACAGCAGUGUGUCUUGGAACUCCAAUAAAUAUGUUUAGAAUCAGUCUGUGUAAAUCAGACAAACUGUUGUUAUUCUAAAUUACAUUUUAG